Molecule: ribosomal RNA, 441 nt
Filed under: uncultured fungus
Lineage: Eukaryota; Fungi
Description: eukaryotic LSU rRNA
Rfam family: 5.8S ribosomal RNA (bases 1-151)
Source: RNAcentral
UUCAGCAAUGGAUCUCUAGGCUCUCACGUCGAUGAAGAACACAGUGAAAUGUGAUACGUAAUGUGAAUGCAUAAAUUCAGUGAAUCAUCGAAUCUUGAACGCACCCUUGCACCUUUUGGUUAUUCCGAAAGGUACACCUGUUUGAAUGUCAUGAAACCCCCCUCGGCUCUAAUGCUUUCUAAAAGGAUUAGAGACGGAUUCUGAGUGUUGGCGUGAAUACGCCUCGCUUUAAAUAUAUCAGCACUUUUGGAUGGUUUAGAAUUAGUUCAAAAGACGUACUUGAUGUUGUAUUUAUAUUUCAUUGAGGCAGUCUUUGGUCUUUAUGACUAUCCGCUAAUACGAAAACUUGAAGAAUAGCUUCCUAACCCUAUUAAAUUACCCUUUAGACUUCAAAUCAGGUGGGACUACCCGCUGAACUUAAGCAUAUCAAUAAGCGGAGGA